GACGAACGCUGGCGGCGUGCUUAACACAUGCAAGUCGAACGGAAAGGCCUUUUCGGCGGUACUCGAGUGGCGAACGGGUGAGUAACACGUGGGUGAUCUGCCCUGCACUCUGGGAUAAGCCUGGGAAACUGGGUCUAAUACCGGAUAGGACCGCACUUUAGUGUGUGUGGUGGAAAGUUUUUUCGGUGUAGGAUGAGCCCGCGGCCUAUCAGCUUGUUGGUGGGGUAAUGGCCUACCAAGGCGGCGACGGGUAGCCGGACUGAGAGGUUGGUCGGCCACAUUGGGACGGAGAUACGGCCCAGACUCCUACGGGAGGCAGCAGUGGGGAAUAUUGCACAAUGGGCGCAAGCCUGAUGCAGCGACGCCGCGUGGGGGAUGACGGCCUUCGGGUUGUAAACUCCUUUCGCCAGGGACGAAGCGUUUUGUGACGGUACCUGGAGAAGAAGCACCGGCUAACUACGUG
RNAcentral lists this ribosomal RNA (463 nucleotides) under uncultured bacterium. RNAcentral's name for it is "partial 16S ribosomal RNA". It matches the Rfam family "Bacterial small subunit ribosomal RNA", at positions 28 to 507 of the family's 1533-position model. The record is from RNAcentral.